CCUACGGGAGGCAGCAGUGAGGAAUAUUGGUCAAUGGGCGGGAGCCUGAACCAGCCAAGUCGCGUGAGGGAAGACGGCCCUAUGGAUUGUAAACUUCUUUAGGCGGGGAGCAAUGCCGGGCACGCGUGCCCUGAGGGAGAGUACCCGCAGAAUAAGCAUCGGCUAACUCCGUGCCAGCAGCCGCGGUAAUACGGAGGUUCCGAGCGUUAUCCGGAUUUAUUGGGUUUAAAGGGAGCGUAGACCGGUUGUUAAGUCCGUUGUGAAAGUUUGCGGCUCAACCGUAAAAUUGCAGUUGAAACUGGCAGUCUUGAGUAGAGUUGAGGUAGGCGGAAUUCGUGGUGUAGCGGUGAAAUGCUUAGAUAUCACGAAGAACUCCGAUUGCGAAGGCAGCUUACUAACCUGCCACUGACAUUGAUGCUCGAAAGUGUGGGUAUCGAACAGGAUUAGAUACCCCAGUAGUC
RNAcentral lists this ribosomal RNA (461 nucleotides) under uncultured bacterium. RNAcentral describes it as "partial 16S ribosomal RNA". It matches the Rfam family "Bacterial small subunit ribosomal RNA", at positions 338 to 795 of the family's 1533-position model. The record is from RNAcentral.